RNAcentral lists this ribosomal RNA (253 nucleotides) under uncultured bacterium. Its description in RNAcentral is "partial 16S ribosomal RNA". It matches the Rfam family "Bacterial small subunit ribosomal RNA", at positions 524 to 776 of the family's 1533-position model. The record is from RNAcentral.
UACGAAGGGGGCUAGCGUUGUUCGGAAUUACUGGGCGUAAAGGGCGCGUAGGCGGUCUGAUAAGUUAGGUGUGAAAUUCCCGGGCUUAACCUGGGCGCUGCACUUAAUACUGUUGGGCUUGAAUUCGGGAGAGGAUAGUGGAAUUCCCAGUGUAGAGGUGAAAUUCGUAGAUAUCGGGAGGAACACCUGAGGCGAAGGCGGGCUACUGGGCUGAUACUGACGCUGAGGCGCGAAAGCUAGGGGAGCAAACAGG